CCCUACGGGGCGCAGCAGGCGCGAAAACUUUACAAUGCGGGCAACCGUGAUAAGGGAACCUCGAGUGCCCGUACAUGCGGGCUGUCCAGGUGUCUAAAGCACACCUGAAGAAAGGGCCGGGCAAGACCGGUGCCAGCCGCCGCGGUAAUACCGGCGGCUCGAGUGGUGGCCACUUUUAUUGGGCUUAAAGCGUUCGUAGCUGGGUCGGUAAGUCUCUUGGGAAAUCUGGCAGCUUAACUGUCAGGCGUCUAAGAGAUACUGCUGAUCUUGGAACCGGGAGAGGUGAGGGGUACUUCGGGGGUAGGAGUGAAAUCCUGUAAUCC
This 323-nucleotide ribosomal RNA is filed under the name uncultured archaeon. RNAcentral's name for it is "bacterial SSU rRNA". It matches the Rfam family "Archaeal small subunit ribosomal RNA", at positions 321 to 648 of the family's 1478-position model. The record is from RNAcentral.